Molecule: long non-coding RNA, 25010 nt
Organism: Anolis carolinensis (green anole)
Lineage: Eukaryota; Metazoa; Chordata; Lepidosauria; Squamata; Anolidae
Exons: 2
Source: RefSeq, a predicted model, not a curated record
CCGAGAUAUAUUAUCUCCUUUUCUCACAUGUAAAGGUUGCAAAUAUACCCACAGAUGUCUGUUUUGUACAAUGAUAAGGUACCAGCACUAGGGCAUGUCCUGCAGCUUCAAUUUAGGAAUUGGUGAUUUAUAGCCAGUUCUGUGUGUUUUAACAGCAUGGAACCAGAACAAACCUCAGGUCCCUCAGUUUUACAAAGCCGAAGGUCAUAUUAACAUAACUAAAUAUUUUGACUUUGAACUCUUUUUGCCCAUUGGGUUUGUAUAAUUGUUCAUCGUAAAACAGCCCUGGAUUAUUUGGCUUCAUGCUGCCACAAAAAGGAACACAGUUUAGAACAUUUGACUGUGGUAUUUUGAUUUCAUCUGCAGAAGGGAUUUACUAAUUUUAACAACUCUUUUGGAAAUUGUCUUUGAAAAGGAAUUGGUUGCUUUUGGCCCAUUGCCUUGUCCAGCGUGGCAUACUGUGUGUCUGCGUGAGUUUAGCAACCUGGAAACUCUUUGUUCCUCAGCAUUAUUUCCAUCAAAUUGCCAGAGAUAUCUCCUUCCUAAAAUGAAGUAGACUGCCCAGAUCCUGUUUGAAAAUAUGUUGCUGUUGAAGUGUCUGGAAACUGGCUUACCAAGAGUUUCCUAGACUCAAUUUAAAUAAAUCAGUAGAAUGCAGAUUUAAUUGAAUAUAUUUUAAACAAUCAUUUUAGAUGGAAGGAAUUUUAAGGGGGUUAUAAUCCAGUAUUUGAAAUUUAAGGUAUUUUAUGUUUUCAACCAAGCUAUUGGUUGUUAACCCUAUGAACUUAAGGAAAGCUCAUGAUUUGUACUUUGGUAAAUUGAUAUAUUACUAUACUAUUCUAUGAAUAUUCUAACUGCUUCAUUUACAAUAAAGGGAAAUGAUGAAAAUGUGAAAACACAAAAAUAAAUUAUACAGACAUUAAUGUAAUUGUACAUUGAAUGUAUCAUGUAAAACUGGAUUAGACUCUGAUCAAGGAGUGUGAAAAUUGGAGGAAAGAAUUUUGAAAAGUUGAUAUACAGAUGACAUCAUACUAUCAGCAGAACAUAGAAAGGAAUUGCAAUGUCUACCUAAGAAAGUCAAGGAAGAAAGUUCAAGGGCAGAUUUAUAGUUGAACAUUAAGGGGAAAAACCACCACAGAUAAUUUAUAUAACUUUAAAGUAGGAUAUUGAUAUCAUCAAAGAUUCCGUAUAUCUUGUUAUAGUCAGUAAUCAAAACAAGAUACUAAAUUAAAAUAAAGAUUAGAAAGGGCAGAUGUGAAGGAACAAACUAUUCUACUGUAAGGAUUUCUAUUGCAUUUCCAAUUUCUAUGUAUGAUUGUGAAGCUGUAAUGUGAAGAAAGCUGAUAGGACAAGAAUCAACUCAUUUGAAAUGUAGUGCUGGAUGAGAAUGUUUUGGAUAUUCUGGACUACCAAAAAGACGAAUAAAUGGAUUCUACAGCAAAUCAAGCCUGAAAUCUCCUUGGAAGCCAAAAUGAUUAAAUCGAGACUACCAUACUUUGGACAUAUCAUGGGAAAAUACUAGAAAAGGCAACAAUGACUAAUAAGUAAGAAAAGUCAAAGACAACAUUUCCGAUAGUUAGACUCGAUUAAAGAAACUACAAGCCUGAGUCUGCAAGACCUGUGCCAGGCUGUUGAUGAUAGAAGUCUCUCAUUCAUGGAGUUGCCAUAAGCCAAAGUUGAAGUGAGAGCAGUUAACAACAACAAUAUUAUAAGGCCCAGCUUCUGUACACGUUGCAGAACCAGCCAGUGGUCUAAGAGUGGUGCAGUGAAUAAAGAGAGGUCAUAAAAGUUGGACAACAUACAGAGAGAUCAAGGCGGUAGAAGUACAGAGGAUGUGGAAUGUGUAAGUAGCUUCAAAGCUGUCUGAAGCUAAGAAAGCAAAAUACCUAGGGGAAAAAUAGAAGAAAGGAAGGACCAAUGCAAAAAAAAAGAAGGGGAAAAGGUUUCUUAGGAAAAAUAUCAGAUCAGUCAUAGGGGUAGGAAAUAUUGUGUUCUGUGCUGUCAUAAGAUAGAAGCUGACAGCAGGAGUUCUGGUCAUGGAGGAAAUGCUGAAAAGGCACACAUGCCAGUGACUGAAGGAAGAAGGCAGAGAAUGGUGUGAGAACAGCAACAGAAAUGCACCAAAGAGAAAGAGCAGAUGACCUUACAAUGCCAGUGCAAAGUAAUUUCCAGUAUUCCCAGCCUGGGUAGAUUCUGGAUUCAACAGAGCUGCAACUAGUAUAGUGUUGACUGGAUGUUACACAUCUUCACUAGGUUUGCACUCUUUACCCAUAAUAGUCACACACCCCUUUUUGGGAUCCCAAUUUGGGGAUUUAACAAUUCCUCGUGUAAUAGUUGCACCCCCACGCCUGCCCCUUGGAGCAGCCUCUGUAGCUUCAAGGGGCACACUCACAGGUGUGGAAAGGUGUGACUCUGUUCUCUGAGUGUCAGAGAGUUGUCUUGGCAAAGCAACACUCUGGAGUUCAGGGGGGGAGAGGUGUACAAGCAGGUGAUCCUUCACCCACCUCCCUCAGUUGGUGUCAGCUGAGGGAGACCUCAUAGCUCUUGCCAGCAAGUGUAUGGGCAAUUUUGCAGCUACAAGGUUUUCCUUGAUUGGCUGCUGAGGGAAGCCCUGUAGCUGCAAAACAUUUUCUCCUCCUCCUCCUCCUCCUCCUCCUCCUCCUCCUCCUCCUCCUCCUCCUCCUCCUCCUCCCCCUCCCCCUCCCCCUCCCCCUCCUCCUCCUCCUCCUCCUCCUCCUCCUCCUCCUCCUCCCCUCCUCCUCCUCCUCCUCCUUCUUUGAUACACAACAAGAUUAGUACACAGCAAACAAGAUCACUCUGCUGGUUUUUGUAUUUGAUUACACGUUGGACACUUCACAAGUGUCUAGGACUAUGUGAUGUAUCAGCGAAUAAUGUUCGCAGAUCCGAGUAGGGUGGCCUUUCACAGCUGACAAAUGGUAAUUUUGUCAGCGUUUAUUCUUUUCAAGUGCUGACCAAAGUCUUCUUCAGGCAUUGCACUCAGUGUGCUGAUCACCACUGGGACCACCUUUAUUGACUUGUGCCAGAGUCUUUGCCAUUUGAGCUUUAAAUCCUCGUAUCUUGUAAAUUUUUCCAGUUGCUUCUUUUCAUCAAUUCUGCUGUUGCCUGGGAUUGCAACAUCGACGAUCCAUACUUUUCCCCCCCACAAUUGUGAGGUCAGGAGUAUUGUGCUCCAAAACUCUGUCAGUCUGAAUUCAGAAGUCCCAGAGUAGCUGUAACGUUUUCAGGCUCGUGAUCCCACUAGUUCUUUUUCACAGGCAGAUGAUAUUUGUGGCACAAGUUCUAGUGGAUCAUCUGAGCAAUGGUAUUAUGCCUCUGCUUGUAGUCCAUUUGCAAAAUUUCCUUGCAGCAACUGAGUACAUGAUCCAUCAUUUCUUCUGCUUUCUUGCAGAGUCUACACUUGGAAUCUGUAGUCGACUUUUCAAUUCUGGCUUUGAUGGCAUUUAUUCUAAUUGCUUAUUCUUGGGCCCUCUGUCUCCUUUUUCAACAAUUAUUAUUAUGUUUAUUUACCAGUAUAUCUCAUCUUCUCUCUCUGUCAAAGUCACACCCACCCUCCCCCCAACCAAGGGGAAAAUGUGUGACUAUUAUGCGGGGAAAUAUGGUAUGUAUUUUUAAUAUUCCUGUAUUUAAUUCUAUUUCAAUGUUUAUAUGGUUUAGGUUUUAAUUUACACAUUAUGAUUUUUAGUAUUAGUCACUUUGAGUCACCUUUGAGAGAGAAAAAGCAGAAUAAAUGAUGAUAAUGAUAAUAGUGAUGAUGGUGAUGAUAAUAAAAGACUGCAGUUCUGUGUGCAUGCUUCCAUGGAAGUUAUUCUGACUGAACAGACAGAAAUAUGUUCUUCCAAGUGAGCAUGGAGAGUUUUAAGGUUUUAAUAAAUAAGGAUGAACACCAGUAUUAUAUAGCCCUGGUAUCCACUGGGAAUAUAUUCCAUGGUCCCAUGUGGAUAAUGAAAACCAUAGAUAAUGGGGAACACUAUAUCUUUACUCUACUUGAGUUGGAAGCAUACCAUAGAAAUGCAGUGGAAGACCUACAGGGGCCUGCAAACACUUCUGGAAGGAUUUUCUUUUCUUUUUCCUUUUUCUUUUUUCAGAGGAAAUGUAAAUAAAACCAUGAAUACUGAAUCUGUGGAUAAGGGAGCUAUAUUGUAUAAUAAAAUUAAGUCACAAUUUACCCCAUUUCACUCACCAUUGAAAGACUGUAUCAACACAGUAUUCAACACAGCAUUUCCUUUCCCACCAGGUUUUCCAUGUGUGGGUGACAGCAGAAGGUUCUCACUGCCGUAUUUUUUGUCAUGACGCACUGAAGGCUGCUUUUUGAGAACUACAAGGGGCAUGACUUGAUUAAAAUGUGGAGCAAUGUCAGUCAGUGUUAGCUGGAAUUGUGCGUUUAUACUCCAAGAUUGGAAAGACAAAUGCUCACCAUCUGUUGUUCCAAACCUGGAGAAUCUUAGUGCUUUGGUGUGCUCUUAAAUGUAUAACUAACUUCCCAAUUCCAAUUUCAGUCAGAUUUUGAGGGAACAUAUCAGCUUAAAUUAACAUAUAUGUCUAACCCAUCUGCAUAUACUGGACAUUUUCCUCCUCCUGCCCCCCCCCCAUUUUUGCUCUUAAAAUGUAAUUUUUUAAAAUGUGGAGGGAGGAGCCAGACUCUAUUCAGUUCAAUGCCAAGCCACUCAAAUAUAUUGGAUUUGGACUUGUGUUCAGCAACGUUUUACUCCCCCUGAAGUUGGGGCAGAAUGGUGAUGUCUUAGAAUAAUAAAAUCACAGAGUUGGAAGAGACUACAAGGGUCAUCCAGUCCAACCCCCUGCCAUGCAGGAACACAAAAUCAAAGCACUCCCAACAGAUGGCCACCCAGCCUCUGCUUAAAAACUUCCAGAAAUGGAGAUUCCACCACACUCCGAGGCAACAUAUUCCACUGCCGAACAGCUCUUGCCAUCAGAAAGUUCUAGCUAAUGUUCAGAUGGAAUCUUUUUCCUGCAAUUUUAAUCAAUUGCUCCAUGUCCUAGUCUCCAGAGCAGCUCUCCUAGCCCCCUCCUGUGUGACAUCAUUUCACAUAUUUAAACAUGGCUAUCUUGUCCCCUCUCAGCCUUCUAUUCUUCACACUAAACAUACUCAGCUCCCAAAAGCUGUUCCUUAUAGGAUUAAUAAUAAUAAUAAUAAUAAUAAUAAUAAUAAUAAUAAUAAUAACUUUAUUUUUAUACCCUGCCUCUAUCUCCCCAAAGGGGACUCAGGGCGGCUUACAUGGGAUUUGGUUUUCCAACCUUUGAGAAUUUUGAUCAUCCUUCUCUGGACACAUUCUAGCUUGUAAAUAUCAUUAUUGAAUUGCAGUGCCCAGAACGGGACACAGUAUACCAAAUGGGGUCUAGCCAAAGCAGAAUAGAGUGGGAUGAUGACUUGAUCUUGACACUAUACUCCUUUUGAUGUGGCCCAAAAUCCCGCUGACUUUUUUUUUGCAACUGCAUCACACUGUUAACUCAUGUUCAGUUUUCACAUGGACUGUUUUCAAGCCAGGUGCCACCCAUCCUAUAACUGCAUUUCACUUUUAUUGCAAAGUAUCGUGCCAUACAUUUCUCCCUGUUGAAAUUCAUUUUGUUAAUUUUGCCCCAGCUCUCUAAUCUUUUAUGGUCAUUUUGGAUUUUGUUGCUGUCUCCUGGGUUAUUGGCUAUCCUCCCGAUUUCAUCUCACCUGCAAAUGUGAUAAGCAUUCCUCCUAUUCCAUCAUCAAAGUCAUUGAUAAAGAUGUUGCAUAGCACUGGGCCAAGGACAGAACCCUGUGGCACGCCAUUGGUCACUUCUCUCUGAGAUGAUGAUGGAGGAGCCAUUGGACAGCACCCUUUGGGUUUGGUCUGUCAACCAAUUCCCAAUCCACCUAAUAUUAGCAUUGUCAAGCCCACAUUUUAUUAGCUUCUUUGUGAGGAUGUUGGUGAACUUUGACAAAGGCCUUACUAAAAUCGAGAUAUGCUACAUCCACAGCAUUUACUAAGGUCUCUCUCUCUCUCUCUCUCUCUCCCCCCCCCCCCCCCACCUCUCUCUCUAUAUAUGGUUUGUCUGGCAUGGCUUAUUUUUGAGAAAUCCAUGUUGACUUUUUGCAAGUAUGCCAUUCCUUUUUAAGUGCUUACAGAUUGUCUCUAAUUGUCUGUUCCAGAAUCUUUCCUGCUAUAAUGUCAGGCUGAUUGGGCAGUACUUGUUUGGGUCCUUUCCUCCCACCCAUUUUUGAAGAUGGAGACAACAUUUGCUUUCUUCCAGUCUGCUGGAAUUUCUCAUGUUCUCCAGGAAUUUUAACUUAUUGCUGCAGCCCCUGCAGCCUAGUUGUAACAGCAUCGUAGUGGCGCUGUUUCCCCAGCAUGAAGCCUUACUUGCAUCCCAUUACCAGAUGGAAUUAGCAAAGACUAGAACUUGACUUCCUACCCCACUCCAUAUCCCCUAGGGAACACUUCUGCACUUUGUCCAUUCACCCUACCAAACGGUUUUGCAAUUUAUAUCUCUGCAUUUUUGCUUAGAUCGUCCUCCUACUUUAUCUAUUUUGCUAUUAAGUGGUGGUUUUUGCUUUUUAUCAUCUUUGUAUUUUAUUGUUUUAUUAUUGUAUUAUAUUGUAUUUUGUGGUUUUAAUCUGUUUAUUUUACCUGCUCGAUGAUGUUGUUUACAUAUGUAUUUUUAUUUUGUUCCCUAUUUGUUCUUUGGGCUUAGCCCCAUGUUAAGCUGCUCCGAGUCUCUGCGGGGAGAUGGAGGUGGGAUAAAAAAAUAAAGUAUUAUUAUUAUUAUUAUUAUUAUUAUUAUUAUUAUUAUUAUUAUUAUUAUUACGACUACUACUACUACUACUAGAACAAGUGGAGACAUCCCCAUUUAUGCAUUGCAUCUAAGUGGUGAUGGAUAAUACCUAUUGUUCCACUUUUCUUCCUUUGAAUCAGGGGUUAAAAUGUUUAAUUACAUUCCUGUAAGUAAUAUGCAUUGUAUUGAGGUAUGCCCCUCUCAGGCCCUUCUACACAGCUGAAUAAAAUCCCACAUUUUAUGCUUUGAGCUGGGAUAUAUAGCAGUGUGAACUCAGAUAACCCAGUUCAAAACAGGUUUUGUAGGAUUUUCUGUAUUGAUAUUCUGGGUUAUAUGGCUGUGUGGAAGGGACCUCAGAGGAACAAAUACUAUUGAUAAAUGGAUUCUACUUACACCUACAAUUUCUAUACUUACUCUCCAGUAUACUUUGUAGAACAUAUGGGAAGCAAAGGAGAUUGGAUAUUUAGAUGUGUAAAAGAAACCAUGAUAACAGUCUGACAGUUUAACAAAACAUUAUUAAGAACGGGCAGCAAUUGUGGAUGAUAUAAGAUUAUUCUUCCACGAAGAAGAAGAAUCCAGCCAGCUGUUUCCAAAUACUCCUUUGCUAUCAUGAUCAGCACUAGUUCACAGAUUGUUUGUUUGUUUUUUUCAGUUAAGGAAGCUUGUUUAAAAUGCCCUUAGAUAAAUUUAGAAACCAUAUGUAGUGAUGUGCAGAAGACAUUAUUUAAUGUUCAUUUGAUUACUAAACGCAAAGUAAAAUUAUAUAUGUGAAAGUAAUCUUGACCUGAUCUUAUUAGCUGUAACUAUGGUUGUAGCUACUGAAAACAUGCAUACAUAUUCAAGAGAUUUAAUAUUAUAUUAGUUCAUAAUUGUCUCAGGAGAUAAACUUCAACAGCAUAAAUUAAAAGGGACCCCUGGGCAGAGUAUAGGUGGUAGACCUCUGCUUCCUGCAGCCAAGAAAGGGCAAACAGGUUAUGAACCUCCAAACACAUACCCUAGGGAUUCAGCCUUUCCCAGAUUUCCCACUCUGAUGUGAUGGAGUAUUGAACCACUGGCUUACUAAUAUGAAAUCAGUCAGAAAAGAAAUUUCUGUCAUCUGAAUCUGUAUUUGUUACCAGGUGCUAUAAUUUUACAUGCCGCAUAUACCCAUAAAGUAAAAGGUUUUCCUCUGACAUUAAGUCUAGUCGGGUCUGACUCUGGGAGUUGGUGCUCAUCUCCAUUCCUAAACUGAAGAGCCGGCGUUGUCCGUAGACACUUCCAAGGUAAUAUGGCCGGCAUGACUGCAUGGAGCGCCAUUACCUUCCUACUGGAGCAGUACCUAUUGAUCUAUUCAUAUGUGCAUGUUUUCAAACUGCUAGGUUGGCAAAAGCUGGAGCUAACAGCUGGAGCUCACUGUGCUUCCCGGAUUCGAACUGCCAACUUUUCAGUCAGCAAGUUCAGCAGCUCAGCAGUUUUAACCUGCUGCCCCAUCAGGGGCUCUUAUAUAUACCCAUCUAUUUGUUGAAUUUUGGGCCCAUUUCUUUGUCAAAAAAGUUCAACGUAUACUCAUGUAUUUGUUGACAUUUUUUGACAAAGAAAUGGACGCAAAAAGACUGCAUCAAAUUAUCCACAAGUCAUUUCUAGAAAUGCUCUGUGCUUCCUGUCAUUUUGGAUGCUUGAAAUAUAGUGGAACCAAUGGUGGUCAUUUUCAAUAUGGCUUACUGUAUAAGUCUCAUGAGGCUUGGCAGUCUUUCUGCAAGCCUCACAAGACUUGCAAAGAGAGAACAGGAAGCCCAUAUUAAAAAUGGCUGCCACCUCUCUGCUACCCCUCAAGCACCCAAAAUGGUGGACAUGCUACAUUCUUCAGGCUCCCUGACCUUGAUACUGAACGCUGCUCAGAUUGAAAAAGAAAGUGAGGAAUGAAGGAAGAUGGACUUUCUCAAGUUUGGGCAAAGGAGGGUAAUGGGGUCGAAGCACUUUGCAACUCUGCGUCUUGUCGUUGCCUUCACACUGGGUCCCUAAAUACAUAGAUUGCUUUCUUUUCAGACGAUAGUCUCAUUCUUUUCCAUCAUUUAUAUUCUUUCCCCUAUCAUCAUAGGCUAUCAUUCAUGGCCGAGUAUGAUUGACUUCCAAGUGUAGGGUCUUGGUGGUGGGUCUGUAGGUGACUGCAAAGACCUGUUCUUGAUCUGCAUGUUCUUUCAUGGUGAGGGCAACAAUUUCCAGGUGGAAGGCAGUGCCGACAAGGUUGGCUUGACAUGCCUUCCUCUUGACACGUUUCUACCGUUUAGUCGUACCUAUUUAAAUUCUGCAACACUGUUGGUAACAGCUGACCUCCAGCUAGAGUGCUCGGGGGCCAGGGCUUUCCAGUUCUCAGUGUCUAUGCCACAAUUUUUAAGGUUAGCUUUAAGCCCAUCUUUUAAUCUCUUUUCCUGUCCACUAAUAUUCUGUAUUCCACCCUUGAGGUGAUUCAACUCCCCUAUCUACUAUAUAUUUAUACAAAUGUGGACAUUUUAGGAUUAGCAUUUCAAUUUACCCGCACCCCCUCCAUAACUCCUCAAACUGAGCAUCCCCAUCUCUUUAGUUCUUCCUAAGUAUAUGCCUUCUAUGCAUUUUUGUAAUGAGAGGAAAAAAUGUAUGUUACAUUAUUUUGAGUUUUAUCCUUGAUUUACCCACAGGUCAUAGAAUAAUCCAAAAAUUUGACCCUAAAACCUGCUCUCAAUUGAUACAUGAGAUUGACUUGUACACAAGUGUACUGCAGUUGUCAAUUAGACUUUCCACCAUAGAGAUCACAAAUAGAUGCUGUAUCCUGGAGUUGGUCCAAUUAAUUCCAUCAUCACCAACCCACAUUCCCUACCCUGAAGAUGGGUGAUUAAAAACAACACACAGUGGCAGUUGGCCACUGAGAGAAUAACAGAAAGAAAUAAUCAUCUCAUUUUCUUACCUUUUACCCAUCCGCAAUUUGAAAUCCACCAACACAACUAUUGUCCUUCUAUUGCUUUUCAGUUUAUUGAACCUAGGACUUUAUUAUAUAAAAUAAUAACUUUUCUUGAAAAACUAAAAUUGCAUUAGCUGUUAUAAUCCAAGGUCUGUGGAUUGGAGAUCUAGUGCCAAAUUUUGAUUUCAAUCCUAUUUUUAAGGUUCUUCAGACAAAUUGAUCCCUCAUUCAUAAAAGGGCCCUCCAAAAGCUCAUGUUGCCAAGUCUAAUAGUAUUUUCUUUGUAGUAGUACAAAUUCAAAUAUGAUCUUCUAGUUAUAUUAACUACACAAUUUUUGUUAAUUUACUAUUUGAAAUAUGGUGGCAGUCUUGGGUAAUACCAUGCUUUGGCUUGAGGGCAGCAGAAUAUUUUCGUAAGACCAUAUCAAGCGGGUGUGAUUGGACAUGUUUGAGUAGGAUGUUUCUUUUUGUUGGCUGGAAGUAGUCAGGUAGUUGACGCACCCAGAUGGAAUUUUUAAAAUAUGUAUGAGAGUGGCAGCUGUGUGUGGGAAGAGUGACUUCAAGUGUACAGAAGAACAGGGGAGAGAAGGUGACGCUUUUUACUGCAUAUCUUAAUGUGUUUACAGAGCUGAGCAGAAGGCAAAUGAGAUUUACGUUUCCUGUCCCCUGUUUUCAGGCCAUGGUAGCAAUCCUGUUGGUAUCUUAUGCAAGAAGGAACUCCCAUGUGACAGCAGUGGGGCAGUUUUGUCUGAUGCAGGAGCUUGGCAUACAGCUCAGGUUAAUGGAAGUAAAAUUGCUUAUAUGGUGCCAUUGCACACACAUUUCAUUGUGAAAUUGGCUGCACGUUUGGAUGUGUGUUCCAUUGUACUAAACUGCCAUUCAACAAUCAAUGGGUGACUCUACAAAGCAGAGAUGUACAGUAUCGAGCCCCAAUAUAAAGUCUUGACCUUUGUUAUUCUGCAUUAGAGUUGGCAAAUGUUAUUGAACUGUGGUUCCCAUUGUCUGUCAUCAUUAACUGUGCUGAUUGAUGGGAAUUGUAUGCUAGUAAAAUCUACCCCUGGUGGUGCAGCGGAUUAAACCACUGAGCUGCUGCACCUGCUGCCCAAAAUGUCAGUGAUUCGAUUCCAGGGAGCGGGGUGAGCUCCCGCUGUUAGCUUCAGCUUCUGCCAACCUAGCAGUUCGAAAAUGCAAAUGUGAGCAGAUCAAUAGGUACCGCUCCAGCAGGAAGGUAACAGCACUCCAUGCAGUCAUGCCAGCCACAUAACCUUGGAGGUGUCUACAGACAACGGCAGCUCUUUGGCUUAGCAAUAGAGAUGAGCACUAUUCCACAGAGUUGGACACGACUAGACUUAAUGUCAGGGGAAUACCUUUACCUUUACGAAAAUCUGAAAAGUUACAAUGUUGAUCCCUUUUUUACCCGAGAUCUAGGUUUAAAUUAUCUUUUCAUAUACAGUAAUCAUAAUUAAAAGAUACCACAAGGGCCAUCUAGUCCAGUCCCCUUCCACACAGGAAUACACAAACAAAGCACUCCUAACACAUGGCCAUCCAGGCCCUGUUUAAAAAAUUUCCAGAAAAGAGAGUCCAGAAAAGAGACUCCGAGUCAUCAUAUUCAGUUGUCAAAUAGCUAAUGUUUUGAUGGAAUCUCUUUUCCUGUAGUUUCAAUCCAUUGCUUGACAUGUCUCUGGAGUAGCAGUAAAUAAGUGUGCUCCCUCCUUGUUAAAAAUGUUAAAAAGGAUACCACUGAAGAGCACUGUCUCUAAGAAAAAUAAUAUGCUUAUUUAUUUAUUUAUUUUUGGCAAGUAGGUAAUCCCAGUGGAAAUUUAAGAUGAGCAUUUAGUUUCUUAUACUGGGUCUUGUUUUUGUUGCUAUGUUAGUCAUUUCCCUAUUUAAUUUAUGGAUACUGUUAUUCCUGGGCCCCCACUAGAAGAGAACAGACUAAACCUAUAGAGAGAACCCAGCAAUUCAGAUAUUUAUAAGUCACUUAAAAAUAUUCACAGACAUGUAUUGUACCGGAUAUUAGAGAUCUGGCAAGCAAAGCAUUAGACAUGACUCUCAGCAAGGUUGCAGAGCUGACCUGGAAUCCAGAAACUAGGGUGGAGGCUAUAGCGCUCAGCCACAACAACUACUGCAUUCAUAUGAACUGUAUUCAUAACACUGCAGGUCCUUUGUGACAACUGGUUCACCUACUGGUAAUGGUUGGCUCUGAACCUGGUUUAAGAUUGGCUUUAUCAGGUUAUAAUGCUUAGUGUGUGUUUAAUCCUGGCAACCAAGUAAAAUACUUUCCUAUAGGUUGAGGUGGUUUUCUGUACAGGCAGCCCCAGGUUAUGAACAAAAUAGGUUUUGUAGGUUGCUGUCCCUGUGAUCACUUUCUGUCACUGUGAUCAUUGAAUUUUUAAAGAUUUGGCUUGUUGUGGAAAUAAUAAUUGGAUAGAAAGUUUCAGUGGACACACCUUUUCCCCAUGAUAAUGCUUUCAGGAGUGAAUUUCCCUUCCUAAGGGUAGAUUUAAUAGAAUCAUAGAAUUAUAGAAGAAUAGAGUUGAAAGAGACCACAUGGACUAUCUAGUCCAACCCCCUGUCAUUCAGGAAAGCACAAAGAUUUAUCUUGCUUCCUGUUGUCUCACCCCAUUCUUAACUAUGAGUAGUUUGUAAGUCGGAUGUUUUUAACUCGGAGACUGCCUGUAUAGUAGUCAGGCUCCAUGUAUAGGAGCCAUAGAUUCUUCUGGCUGAAGAAGUUAGCUAUUAAUGACACAUUCCCUGAAAUGAACAUCAAGAGUUCAGUUUUCAUAUGAGAGAAAACUCUAUGUCUGGAGAAGUCUGCUCUAUAGCCCAAGGUACACCAUGGAGAAUCCACAUUUGAGAUGUUCAACUAUAAAUACUCAUAAAAUAAAAAAGAGAUUUGGGGCACUACUGAAUUUGAGGGGUAACUUCUUUCAAUAUGAAGAUGGAUACAACCUGGGAUGGGAAUACCCUGAAGCCAUUUUGCAGUCCACACAGCCUGCCAGGCCAAUAGCACAUCAGCACCAGUGCCCUGGCCUCCUGGGGACGAUUUGCUGCUGUUCACUGACCAGUAGCAGCUCCCUGGUAGAACCUCACUGAUGACAUCACUUCUUGUUGAAGUCACAACAAAGCACCCAACCAAUUGAUCACCGGAAAGGAUGUCGCCAGAAAAGCUCUGCUAGAGAACUCCUUCUAGCUGGUGAUACACUGGUGAGUGUUUUUGACAUGAACCCUGGAUCCAGCCUGAAGCAGUUGUCCACAUAUCAAAAACACCAAGGAUCACUCUGGAGUGUCCCAGAAGCUCCAAAAUAACCUGUGGCCUCUGUAACGGAUUAAGAGCUAAAAGCAGUGCAAAAAUUGGCCAUGCCGAGUAUAUUUUAUUUGGCCCAUGUAGACCUGAGGUUGGUCAGGUUGCACCCGUUCUUCAUAUUGCAAAAACCUAGUCCUCAAAAUUAACCCAGUUGAGCAGUAAUGCCUGAGACUUCUUUUUAUUAUUAUUUUGUGAAGAUCUAGAAGUGAAGAUUUCAAAUUCAUUUCACUACUUCCUGUGUCAUUCACGUUUUUCAAUAGUUAAAGCGGGCUGUGGAUCAACUUGAAAACAAUUUAAAAGGGAAAGUCAAUGCCUCCUCAUUUUCAGUCUUCUGGCAGUCUUAGGGCAUAUCCAGACAGCUCCUUUAAAACGGGAGUUUCCGUACUUGAAAGUGGGCCAUCCAGAUGAUGUACUACAGAAAAACAAAUUAAUUCGCCACAAACAAGGAAAACCCUGGUUUGCAGCAAAUUAAUUUGAUAGCCCAUUAGGCACGCGGCUUUCUGAAAGGCCUGAGUCUAAUGAGCUAUGACCCUGUGUGGACAAGCCCACGGGGAGUCCUUGGAUUUCCCUGUGGCCUGUCCAAACACCCAUCCUGCACCUUCUGGGCUCUUGGAGUCCAGAAGGUGCAAUAUUACCCCCACUCCUUCCCAAAACCCCUUAAAAACAGGGGGAAACAGUAAAAAUAACUUACCAGUCUUCAUGAGGACUGUGCUGUGAGGCCUAAUGGAGAGUGGUACGUUAUUUUUACUGUUUCCCCCAUUUUAAGGAUGUUUUUUGUGGCGGGGGGGGGGGGGGCUGUCUCCAUGUUCUCCCGGUAGGUACCAAGAGGACAUGUAGACAGCACCUUUUAAACCCGGGUUGAAGAGGACUUUACUGCUGUCUGGAACUGAACUAAGUCUUCUAUGUAGCAGGAUAACAUUCUAAUAUUUGUGAAAUAUGUAAAAAAUUGUAUGCUAGCAAAAUCCUGAACAGUGUAGUUUAACCAAUAUAGGUUGUUCAUAAGACAUUGGGUGGGGGUACUUAUUUCUUUAGGAACACAAUCAAAUUCACUAGCAGUACCUAUUAGUUGCCCUGCUUCCAUUAAUUAAGUAUUUAAAUCAUUUUAGAAUCUUUCCUUCUUAGGUAUGACAAGAGCAGUUACUUUCCAUUUCUUCAGCUCUGUUUACUUAAAUAAAUAUAUCAAAGUUUUACUUCCUGGAGUUAUAUAAAGAAUUGAUCAAAGAUUUAAAGCUAUCAGAAGCAAAAUGUUAAAGUACUUGUUUCUCUGUUGGGCAAAAACAGUAGCUUUAGAGCACUUCAAAGAGAAUAUAUUGCUGGGAGUGAUGUUCAGGAAAAAAUUACUGCCUUAAUUAGUGGUAAGCAAUCAUAGCAGAUGAAAAGUUUUAGAGGUAUAACAGUGUUGAUUCAUCAUAGCCCAAAUUGCUUGGGGUGGAUUUCAAACAUUUAUUGUCCUCCUUCAUAAUGAUAACAGUCUAAAAAUAUGGCCUUUCUCCUCUAUGGAUUCUGAAGUCGCUCAGAUGCCAAGGCUCAGAUAUGAAAGUUUUCUCAUGUUUUGUCUUUUUUAUUUUAUUUUUUCCAUGCCACUGCCAUUGCCUCUGUCAUCUUCUCUGUUUGCUCAGAUAGUUCAAGCAUGGUUGUAUAGUUUUGGUGCUAUCUUGUAUGUGCAUUUGUAGCUAUACGAAUAUAGUAGGUGAACCUGCUAUUGAACAACUAAUGAAAGAUGAGCACAGAAUGAAAUAGAAAUGGAAGUUAUGAACUGAUUUGAAGAGCUGGAAAUAGACAACACUGGAAGAAACAAAACAAGUCAUAACUGAAGCAGUUUAAAUGUAAUUAAUUCAUCAAUUCAUUAAUUGUUUGAUUUUAUAUUCUGUCUUUAUCUCAGCACAGGAUACAAGGUAGCUUACAGUAUUGGAAUUAACUACCUAAUUAAAAUCAACUGAAUUAUGAUUUAACAGCUGUCAUGUUGUAGUGGUUUAAUCAUUGGACUAGAAUUUUGGAGAACAGGGUUUGAAUUCCCGUUUGACCAUGGAAACCCACUGGGUGACCUUGGGCAAGUCACACUCUCUUAGUCGCAGAGGAAGGCACAGCAGACUCCCUCUAAACAACUCUUGCCAUGAAAACCCUGUGACUAGAUUAGCCUCAGGACUGCCAUAUGUUUCAAACAACUUGGUAUACAGAUUGAGUUACGAAUGUAUCUAACUAUUAAUUUCAUCAAACAUCAAUGCAAAUGGCUCUAGUAAUUUUUGUGACCAUGCUCAGGGUAUGCUAGUUUAGUUAACAGACAAUUCCAUAAUAUUGUCCUCUUGUUAGAACUCCAUGUACUUUACAUAUGAAUUUUAAUUUGAGACUUUUAAAGCCAGAGUCCUGUGCUGAGAUCCACACGAAACAGUAAAUUUAAGAAAAGAGGAGAGCGAACUAGAUAAAGGGGGAAUUAAUGAGACUAUACUAAGAAAGGAGAAAGAUUUUUGUUGGCAUGGUAGAAGAACAAGGCUUUCAAAAUUUAAGACAGUGGUUUUCUUUUCUCCAAAAGUCAGCAUGGUAGGGGCCAGGGAAUAAUUAAAUCAUGGAUGGGGUUUUCACCUUAAUUGUGUACUGAUGUAGCAUAAAUUUAAAUGCUAAUUUAAAACAAUGUAUGCGUGUGUAUGUGCCUUCAAAAUACCUUUGAUUUUAAAUAACUAUAUUAAUUUCAUAGAUUGUUCUUAGGCAAAAGAUACUUGGAGGUUGUUGUGAAUUUUCCAGGCUGUGUGGCCAUGUUCCCGAAAGCUUCUGGAACAUGGUCAUACAGUCUGGAAAACUCACAACAAUCCAGUGAUUCCUGCCAUGAAAGCCUUUGACAACACAAUACUUGGAGGCAUUUUUUGCCAGUUCCUUACUCAGAAAUGUAGCCUCCAGCAUCUGGCAUUUGUUGGUGAUCAUGUAAGCAUUAACUAGGACUGACCCUACUUAGCUUCCAAGAUCUGACAGGAUAGGUGAGGGUAAACUAGGGUAAAACCAAGAAAGAUAUGGCUAAAAUUUCUCUCUGAACCAUCUAACCAGAUUACAAAAUGUAAGAAAAAAGCCUGAGCUUUAGACAGACCAGUAGUUUUUGUUAUUAUUUUUCUGCAUCGUGAUACCUUCAUUAAAGGUUUCCUCAUUUCAGCAUAAACAAGAAUGAAUUGUUUGUUAGCAUAUUAUUGAUUAACUUCUCACUGUCUUUCUCCUCUAUGAAUGGAAGCAUUCCAGAAACACCAAUGAAAUGAAGUGGAAAGGAAUGAACAGACUCUGGUACUAAGUGACGAUUGAGAGGGGGUGAAUCCUGUCUCCCUACUGACAUUUGUUAGAAACAGCUGAAUUAGAGAGCCCUUCACACAGCACCGAGCUGUCCGAUGUUGGUGAAAUACUAUCUUUUGCACUAGCUACAUACAUGGAGGUAGUCUGUGCAGACAAUAUGCCAACAGAAUCAUAAUUGGAAGAGACCACAUGGACCAUCUAGUAGUCCAACCCCCUGCCAUGCAGGAAAAGUACAAAGUACCCCGAGAUAUGACUAUCCAGCCUCUAUUUAAAAGCCUCAAAAGAAGGAGCUUCCACCACAGUCCAAGACAGAGUUCCACUGUUGAACAGCAGUCACAAUAAAGUUCUUCCUAAUGUUCAGGUGGAAUCUUCUUUCCUGUAAUUUGAAGCUGUUGCUCCAAGUUCUAGUCUCCAGGACAGCAAAAAACAAGCCUGUUCCCUCUUUAAUUUAUGACUUUAUCAAAUGCAGGGGUAAGUGUACCUAAGCUGUUUCAUUAAGUGUACCUAAUAAAACUUCUACACAGACAGAUAGUGAACCAAAAGAACAGGAAGAAGGGCAUGAAAAUGAGUGGGAAAUGUUAAGUAAAAAAGAAUACCCUAUAUACUCGAGUAUAAGCCGACCUGAAUAUAAGCCAAGACAUCUAAUUUUACCAUAAAAAACUGGGAAAACUUAUUGACUCGAGUAUAAGCCAAGGGUGAGAAUUGCAGCAGCUACGGGUAAAUUUCAAAAUGAAAAUAGAUAUCAAUAAAAUUACAUUAAUUGAGGCAUCAACAAGUUAAAUAUUUUUGAAUAUUUACCGUGUUUCAAAGAAAAACAGUAAACUAGCUCUGUAAGUGGAAAAGUAGGGUCAACAAAAACAACAAUAUGGUAUUAACAAUAACUUAAUAACAACAGCAACAACAAUAACAAAACUUCAUUUGUAUCCCGGCCUAUCUAUCUCCCCAUGGGGACUCAAGCUGGCUUCCAACAUAGUAACAGGCAACAUUCAAUGCCUACAUAAGCAAUGCAGAGCUAGAUAUAGAUCUAUCUAUAUAUAUAAAAGAGUGAUGGAAUUCGGGCAAAGCAACUAAACUACGGGGCCCCCAACCUCGACAUUGGACAACAAAACCCAUCAUCCAUGCCUUAAGGUUGAAACAACACAAAAUCACUUCACGCACCUCCACAUGGAGAGAAUCCACAACGCCCCAUCGGGAGCCAUGCCAGGGAGGGAGGGAAAGAGAAGCCCUCAUUGCCGCCGGCAACAGGGAAGGCAGGCAAUGGGAAAAAGCUGUCCCCUGGGUCCUAGCGCCCGCGCAUCAUCCAAACCAUUUAUCUCCACUCCAACCUUCUACAAUAUCCAACCCAUUUUAAUACUCUAUAUUUUAAAUAUAUGCUAUGAACCAUGACAAUCAACACAAUCUCUCUCCUAAUAUUUUAACAAGCUUAAAAUCACAACACCAAAUAAAAAAACAACACUCUUAAAACACGGGAAUGCCAGACACUAAACAAUCAGGGCCAGCAAACACCUCCCACGAUCUGCCAUGCAGGACACAAUCCAAGCACUCCCAACAGAUGUCCACCAAGCCUCUCAAUAAUAAUAAUAGUAAUAAUAACAACAUCAUCAUACAAUCCUAAGGUUUGCAGAGGCUGACUAUUUCUGUGGCCCUGACAUGUCACAUCUCUUUUUAUGUUUGGAAUCUUUACAGUGUUUGCUUAUCUUUUUCACAUAGAAAGAAGAUAGCUCUAUACUCAGAGAGGCCUGACUAUUUCUGUGGCCCUUACAUGUCACAUCUCUUUUUAUGUUUGGAACCUUUAGAGUGUUUGCUUAUCUUUUUCACAUAGAAAAAAGAUAGCUGUAUACUAAGAGAGGCAUGACUCUACUGUACAUACUAAACAUAAAGACAACCAUACAACAGACAUUCAAUACUACCACUAACUCAAAUUUCUCACCAACACCACCAGACAACGCCACAGCAACGCGUGUCCGGGCACAGCUAGUAAUUAUAUAUACUGAUUUCACAUAUGCAUUCUCCCCUGAAGAGUUUGCAAAUCCUCUCUAUAUAUGUGCAUUUCCCUCCUACAUCUAUCUAGAAAUCUCUAUGUGUGUGUGUGUACAUUUCCCCUGUAGUAUUUCCAAACCCUAUAUAACUGUAUUCAUAUAUUUCUAGCUAGACAUCUCUCUAUAUAUAAUUAUAUCUGUAUAGGAUUUGCAAAGACUUGCAAACAUGUGAAGCAAAAAUUCAUAUAUUAAAUAAUGUAUACACAUAGAUACAGAUAUCUAUAUGUAUAAAGACAGAAAUGCCUAAACACCUCAGGAGAGUAUUUACCAGAGCUCAUUUUGAGCAGCUGGAUAUGAUGGUCAAACACGGAAGGUUUAAUCAAGUUCCAUACAACGAACGAUUUUGUAUUUGUGGAGCAUCAGAGGUGGAGGAUAUCACACAUGUACUGUUCAGCUGUGAAUUGUAUAAGAAAGAGAGAGAGCAAUGCCUCGGACCAUACAUUAUUCACAAAACACACUGGGACCCACAUAUUAAAACUUCAUUUUUGUUGGCCAGCCAGAAUCCUAAAAUAACACAUAAAACAGCCCUUUUCCUAUUCAAAGCCACACAGCUGAGAAUUGCAUAUUUGGAAUCAAUUGGGGGUAAACUGUAAAGGUGAUGCAGACAUUUGACCUGGACGGGAUCUUGUUAACAGCUUGUUUAUUUUAACUUCUUUUGUACCGCGGGUUGUAUGUUGUAUGUAUGUCUAUGUGUUAAAUGUUUUGAUACGACCGAUAGGCUAAUCAAUAAAAUGUGAUUUGAUAUAUGUAUAUAGGAUUUGCAAAGACUUGCAAACAUAUGAGGGGAAAUUCAUAUUUAAAAUUAAUAUAUAUAGAGAGAGAUAGAAAUAUUUAGGUACAUAGGGAUUGCAAAGGGUUGCAGGGGGAAGUGCCUACAUAUCUGUACAAGAGAUUAACAAAUAUUUCAGGGAAAAAUGCUUUUAUAAGAUGAAUGGGUAUAUAUAUUUUCUUCUUCCUGACUUGCAAGGGCUUAUUUUCCUUUUCAAAACAUUCCCUUCCUUAAGAGCGAGGGAGACUUUGGAAAAACAAACAUACUGAUAAGGAAGGAGAGAAAUAUAUAUUGCAAGCAAUAGCCUCCAGUCUCAGCUGCCAGCUUGACCUUGACCCCAUUAUAAGAUGGCUUAUCUUCGGGUAUAUAUGAUAACUAAUAGUGGAUUCCUUGGUAAGGUAGAAAGCAGUAGGAAAAGUGGAAGAUCGCAUUCCUGGUAAAUGGCCUUAAUCAAGGACGCCACAGCCAGGCAUGAGCAGAGCUGUUAAUGAUUGGGUGAUUUGGAGGUCUCUCAUCCAUACAGUGACCAGAAGUUGAAGAUGACUUGAUGGCACUUAAUAACAACAAUGUACAUUUAUUACCCAAUGAUUUUCUUAAAUUUAGUGCAUUCCAUAGUUCCCUUUUAGUAGUACUGUAUGUGUAUGGACUCUGGAAUUGGGUCGCCUCUGAGUUUAAGCUGAGGGGAUAACCAAAUGGUCUGAUGAAGCCGGACCACCAAGACUCCUAUAUAGUUGGAUCUACUUAAGAAUUUUCAAUCAGAUAUAUACUAAAUGAUUAAGUACCAAGAAAUAUUAAGACAGCUAUUAUUGAGCUAUCUCAGGAAUAAUACAGGUUGCCUGUAAUCUAUUCUAUAGAAACUUGAAAAUAAGUUACACUGAGCACAUAGAAGAGACUUCUUAGUACUGCAUACAGAGUGAUUGUAGAAGUCUUCAUACUUAAAAUAUUUCAAAAAUAAUGGAUAGGGGAGGAAUUCCCCCCCUCCUAUAAGUAUCUGCAAAUAAAAAAACUGAUAGCAACCUGUUUACCAAUGUUAAGCCUCUUUAAAAACACUUCCAGACACCCUGAGCAUAUUCUUGAGCAUACUACUGAAUAUUCACACCCUAUAACAUGGAGAAAUAAUUUGGAAUCCAAUAAAUGUAUUCCUUCAUUUGCUAUUCUCAUCUACAAAGUGUGACUACAGAAUAUAUUAUUCCACACCAGUGAGAGCCUUUCGUGGAAUGCCACACAGACCUUCAUCUAUUGCACUUGAAAGUUAUUCCUAAAAUAUCAUUGAACUGCUUUUUUAGAAGUGUCAGGGGGAGUAAUUAAAAAUGUCAUGGAAAAAGGAAUAACAGGUGAAGUUCUGAGUUUCAUUUUAAAAAAUAUUAUUGCUUCUUCAGUGCCAUUUCAGGUAUUAAAGAAACCCCUUCAUUUUGGAUUAAGUAUGCAAUGUGACCUCAGAUACAUGGUCUCACAUACUUAAUUUCUAUGCAGCAUAUUAGACUAAAAAAGUCAUUGAAAUCAAGCAUAUUUCCCCCUUACUGAAUGAGUAAUGUAUUCAGAAAAUGUUAGGGGCUUUCCUCCCACUGGAAAUUUUAUCCCUAAGCUUGGUUUAGUACAGACAGCUGCAAUGCAUGUCUCUUCCCCACUUCUUAACUCACUGUCCCAAAUGUUACUUAUGUCCCAAAUGUUACUUAGUCUAUUUCAUGGCUUUCUCCAUUGUUUGCUGAUUCCUGGCACAUUGCCCAGAAUAGAUCAGUGAUCAUAUUUUUAAUAUUGUGUAUAAUAUUAGUAUUAUUAUUAUUUCAAAAUAAUGGUGUAGUUUGCGGUGCUGAAUAGAAGCCAAACAAAACUGAGCUUUAGCAAAGAAAAUAUAAAAUAUGUAAUCUAAUAGAAAUGUAUUCCAUACAAACACAUAUUUGCUGAAUGGAUCAUAUAGAUUUAAUGAAAUUAUCCUGCCUUGUAAACAGGAUAAGGAAAGUAAUAAAGGCAGAUUUUACAUGUACUUCUCCACGGAAAGGAGGGAGGAGAGAACUAGCAAUUAUUACAAAAUGAAUUUGGCCUGGUCUUUUCUUCUUCUUCUUUUUUUUAAGAACUGCAAAUAUAAUUGGUGCCUGUGAAGGCAAACUUUAAAUUUCUAAUUCAUAAACAGCAGACAUGUGCAGGCUGUUGCUCAGGGUGGGGAGAGAAGGAAUUACUAGAAAGGAAAACCUCCCCCACAGAGACUUAGGUCUUCCUUUCAAAAGGGCUCUAGAUCAUGUCUUACUUUGAGAACCAGCAGUGUUUAUAUGAAAGAUUGAAAGGAAUGGUUUGAGGCAAACAUACACACCCUGCCUUCCUAUUUUCCCCUGAGCCCCCUACCCCACCCCAAAAUAUAGCAAAAGUAAAAAAGAAACAAAGUUUGCAUUUAUAGAAUAGAAGCCAAAUCUGGUAGUCUAUUGGCUACAAAGUCUUGCCCAAAGCCUUGGCAAGACUUGAGAGUUCAUGUGUAUUAUUUUUUUACAACAUUUCUAGUACUUAAAUCAGAAUCCUGUUGGUAUUGUGCAAAUGAAUAACUACUCUUACACAAGUGCUGGCUUUUUAGCUGUAAUACAACAGAUGUAUUCAGUUCAUGAUUGCAUAGUUUGAAUUCUACAGCAGAAAUGUGACCAUUUCACAGAAGCCUACAUCAUAUUUUGACCAUUUCACAUCAUAUUUCAAUCCACACUAGAGAAGAAUCAUUGAAACAAUUGGAUACAGCAUUGAAGAUUUUAUAAAGUGGGAGUAUUUUCCUGCAACAGCAUUCCAGCCAUGCAGUUACAUAUUCUUGGGUAGUGCAUUACUAUUUCUUACUGCCUACAGUGUCCCAGUUCUUUCACUGUGGUUUCCAAAAUGUGCACUGUGUAUUCCCACUUGCUUAAUGGCACACUGGCAGAUACACAAUAAUUAGCAUAGUAUUGCUAAUUAAUAGAAGAAUGGUGUAGCCCAACAAAAGCAGGGUAUAGUUUACACAUCACAAACACAAUAUAGGAUCGUGGCCUGUGAUGUUCUUAUUUUAAAUCCAAAUGAAUUGUCAAUUCCAUAUAUACACAAGAUAUGAUUCUGGGCUGUUCAUAUAGUCAGCCAAAGAGCAUAUAGGUCUAUUUUAUUGGAUGCAAAUGAGAUGUAUGCUAAACAACUAAUGUAAUGUGGCUCAUUAAAAAGGUAAAGGUUUUCCCCUGACGUUAAGUCGUCGUGACCGACUCUGGGGGUUGGUGCUCAUCUCCAUUUCUAAGCCGAAGAGCCGGCAUUGUCCGUAGACAUCUCCAAGGUCAUGUGGCUGACAUGACUGCAUGGAGCACCGUUACCUUCCUGCCAGAGCCGUACCUAUUGAUCUACUCACAUUUGCAUGUUUUCGAACUGCUAGGUUGGCAGGAGCUGGGGCUAACAGCGGGUGCUCAUUUCGCUCCUGGGAUUUGAACCUGGCACCUUUUGGUCCGCAAGUUCAGCAGCUCAGUGCUUUAAUGCACUGUGCCACCGGGGCCCCUAAUGUGGCUCAUUAAUUGACUGCAAAUAAAAGGCGCAGGUCAUAAAAAAGCAAAGAGUUAGCAACCUUUUAAUGAUGGCAUUGGAGGUGGAAAACAAAGAUGGUAUUCAGAGAAAGGGCUGGUUCUUUCUUAUACAAAAAGGUGUCCUUACAUUCUCACAAGAGCUGUUUUAGAAUCUAGUCUCUUAAGACUAGAUCUUGUACAUAACACUUGUCCAUGGCUGAUUAACCUGACCAGUGGUAUUUUAAUAUUACCUCUUUUGAAAUGACCAUGUGGCAUUAGAAAAACAUUUAGGGUUUUGUCAAUAAAGGGAAAUAUACUUGAUACUAACAUUUUCCUAGUUGGAGAACUUUGACCACAAGAUGUUAUGAUCCACAGUGAUGUCCCCCUUAUUGCUGAAGACCUAAACCCUCUUGUGAUAUCACUAGACUAUUAUUAAAUAAUGGUUAAACUGUGUACAACCAAAGAGUCCCAGUGAUAUUCCAAAUGUAGUGCAUGUGUGGGCUGAUCACAUAUAUGUCAGACCAGGAUAGCUGAGUACUACUGGCAUUUCAAAAGCAACUACUGUAUCACAGAGGUCACCAAUGGUAGUACAGUGACUCUUUUUACUCAGGUUCAGAACAUGGGCUUGGAGGAUACAUAAGCCCCUCUUGUCCGUACUCUUUGCAACAGCAAGUCUUUGCCUGUGGUGGCAAAAUAGAAACCUUGCUGGAAAUGCUAAUGCAGCAGUACCUCCUGUCUCAAUCCCCAGCUCCUCCAGGUUGGCCUACGAUCAGGGGCGGUUGAACUGUGAGGCAAAUUAGGUAGUUGCUUGUGGUGCCAUCCUCUAGAGGGCGCAGUUGAGAUGCUCCCACAUGCAUGCGCGCACAACCCCCACCUCCUCCCAGGGUUGCUCCGCUCGCCUUCAACCUGGGCCCGCCUUCGGGGCCUGUGGCCACCUCCGGGGCGAGGCCCGCCUUGACCCACAUCUAUGGCAGGCAUCCUCAGAGGUUGUGAGGUCUGUUGGAAGCUAGGUAAGUGGGGUUUAUAUAUCUGUGGAAAGUCCAGGAUGGGAGAAAGAGCUCUUGUCUGUUUGAGGCUAGUGUGAAUGUUGCAAUUGGCCAGCUUGAUUAGCAUUUAAUGGCCUUGCAGAGUCAAAGCUUGGCUGCUUCCUCACUGGGGGGCAUCCUAGGUUGGGAGGUGUUAGCUGGCCCUGAUUGUUUCCUGUCUGGAUUUCCCCUGUUUUCAGAGUGUUGUUCUUUAUUUACUGUCCUGAUUUUAGAGGUUUUUUUAAUACCAGGGCCAGAUUCCUUGUUGGUGGCCUUUUAAUUAUCUGCCUUGAUAUUCUGGGUUAUAUGGCUGUGUUGAAGGACCCUCACUGCUCUUCCACACAACCAUAUAACCCAGAAUAUCAAAGCAGAAUAACCCACAAUAUAUGCUUUGAACUGGGUUAUCUGAUUCCACACUGCCCUAUAUCCCAGUUCAAUGUUUGGUGCUAAAUUCGCAAAUAUAGUAAUUCCUACAUAACAUUGCCAUGUAUAACUUCUUUUUCUGUUCAUUUGUUAUAAAACAUGAUGUUUUGGUGCUUAAUUUGCAAAAUCAUAAUGUAAUUUAAUAGGCUUUUCCUUAAUACUGUGAUGUCUCAUGGGCCUCAGAGUUCUGACCCUAGCGCCAUCAUGGAUAAUGAAGAUGAGAACAUGGGUUUUUUGCCAUCUCAGCAGGAGACGGAAUCAUUCCAGAUGCCGGUUGUUGACCAUUCUUGCCAAGAGCCCAUUAAAAUGGACCUUGAACAAGUUUUUCCCAGCGCCUCUCCUCCCUUUGCGAGAAAAGAAUCCUAUGCUGCGAGUCGGGGUCAAAAAGAACAAAAAAGGAAAAGCACCAGAUUAGCAGCCAGGCAGAACACUAAUUAGCUAAGUUUCUCUUGGGAAUUUGCAGGGAGGAACGCAGCUGCAGGAAGAUGUCUUUCGCUUCUCUUUCCCUUGGGAAAGGAAGCUCUGGACACCUGCUCUGCAGGAAGAUUGAACUUCCUUAAAAGUUCCCUGCACCGAGAAAUCCGUGCGGAGUCAACAGAUCAGCUUCAGGAUUAACUUCGGUUCCAGCCUAGUGUGGACUGCGUUUUAAGUCUGCAACUCCAGUUUCCUUGCCUUGCCUUGCCUUGUCAAGUUUUCAUGAACUAUCUCGUCGUGUUUCCAGCCUUGGAUUUUGUCUCAAGUAUCUAGCCUCAUCUCAGGUUCUUGCUUUGGACUUACUUUGAACUUUAGAAACACUUUGGACGUUUCCCCACUCUACGGCUUGGAAGUAGAGUGUGUUUCGGUUUUGGGAUUACAACUUUGAACUCUAAUAUUAUAUAUUGGACAAUAUAUUUCUGGACUAUAUUUGACCUUCUCUGAAAGGUCUAUUGCUGGACUACAUUUUCUACUUGUUUUUAUUCUACUAUAAUAUUUCUUUAAUAAAGAUAUUAGAUUGUA